Molecule: ribosomal RNA, 368 nt
Filed under: uncultured phototrophic eukaryote
Lineage: Eukaryota
Description: SSU rRNA
Rfam family: Bacterial small subunit ribosomal RNA
Source: RNAcentral
UACGGGGGAUGCAAGCGUUAUCCGGAAUCAUUGGGCGUAAAGCGCCUGUAGGUUGUUUACUAAGUCUGUUGUUAAAGACUAGGGCUUAACCCUAGAAAAGCAAUGGAAACUUGUAGACUAGAGUAUGGCAGGGGUAGAGGGAAUUUCUAGUGUAGCGGUGAAAUGCGUAGAUAUUAGAAAGAACACCGGUGGCGAAAGCGCCCUACUGGACCAUUACUGACACUCAGAGGCGAAAGCUAGGGUAGCAAAAGGGAUUAGAUACCCCUGUAGUCCUAGCCGUAAACGAUGGAUACUAGAUGUUGUGCUUUUGUACAGUAUCGUAGCUAACGCGUUAAGUAUCCCGCCUGGGGAGUACGCUCGCAAGGGUG